This 445-nucleotide ribosomal RNA is filed under the name Tetragnatha hawaiensis. Its description in RNAcentral is "partial 16S ribosomal RNA". It matches the Rfam family "Bacterial large subunit ribosomal RNA", at positions 1855 to 2630 of the family's 2925-position model. The record is from RNAcentral. Lineage: Eukaryota; Metazoa; Arthropoda; Arachnida; Araneae; Tetragnathidae.
AGGCCUGCUCAAUGAACAAUUUAUAAGCCGCAGUAAUUUAACUGUGCUAAGGUAGCAUAAUCAUUAGCCUCUUAAUUAGAGGCCAGAAUGAAUGGUUUAACAUUUCCUUAACUUUUUUAAAAGUUUAAAAAAAACCUAUAUUAAAUAUAAAAAUAUAUUUAUAUAUUAAUCAGACGACAAGACCCUUUCAAACUUUACUGAAGUUUAGCUGGGGUAGCUCAAUAAUAAUUAUCUUAUAAGUUUUCAUAAAAUAGACCCAAUAUUAAAUUGAUUAAAUGAACAAGUUACUGAAGGGAUAACAGCAUAAUAAAUUUAUACAGAUCUUAUUAAAAAAUUAGUUUAUGACCUCGAUGUUGAAUUAUUUUACUUCUACACGCAAGAGUGUAGAAAGGAGGUCUGUUCGACCUUUAAAUUUUUACAUGAUCUGAGUUCAAACCGGAGGAGG